AGGGUUUGAUCAUGGCUCAGAACGUACGCUGGCGGCACGCCUAACACAUGCAAGUCGAACGCAGUAGCAAUACUGAGUGGCAGACGGGUGAGUAACAUGUGGGAAUCUGCCUUGUGGUUCAGGACAACAUUGGGAAACCGAUGCUAAUACUGGAUAAGCCCUUACGGGGAAAGUUUUAAUGCCAUAAGAUGAGCCCGCAUUUGAUUAGUUAGUUGGUGAGGUAAUGGCUCACCAAGACAAUGAUCAAUAGCUGAUCUGAGAGGAUGAUCAGCCACACUGGGACUGAGACACGGCCCAGACUCCUACGGGAGGCAGCAGUGGGGAAUCUUGCACAAUGGAGGAAACUCUGAUGCAGCGAUGCCGCGUGAGUGAAGAAGGCCUUUGGGUUGUAAAGCUCUUUUGUAGGGGAAGAUAAUGACUGUACCCUAAGAAUAAGGUCCGGCUAACUUCGUGCCAGCAGCCGCGGUAAUACGAAGGGACCUAGCGUAGUUCGGAAUUACUGGGCGUAAAGCGCGCGUAGGCCGUUGAGUUAGUUAAUUGUGAAAUCCCAAAGCUUAACUUUGGAACUGCAAUUAAAACUGCUCGACUAGAGUUUGAUAGAGGAAAGCGGAAUACAUAGUGUAGAGGUGAAAUUCGUAGAUAUUAUGUAGAACACCAGUUGCGAAGGCGGCUUUCUGGAUCAACACUGACGCUGAGGCGCGAAAGUAUGGGUAGCAAAGAGGAUUAGAUACCCUCGUAGUCCAUACCAUAAACGAUGAUUGCUAGAUGUUGGAAAUUUAUUUUCAGUAUCGCAGCUAACGCAUUAAGCAAUCCGCCUGGGGAGUACGACCGCAAGGUUAAAACUCAAAUGAAUUGACGGGGACCCGCACAAGCGGUGGAGUAUGUGGUUUAAUUCGUCGCAACGCGAAGAACCUUACCAGGCCUUGACAUACCGAUUAAGAGACGCAGAGACGCGUCUUGUCAGUUCGGCUGGAUCGGAUACAGGUGCUGCAUGGCUGUUGUCAGCUCGUGUCGUGAGAUGUUGGGUUAAGUCCCGCAACGAGCGCAACCCCU
This 1053-nucleotide ribosomal RNA is filed under the name uncultured bacterium. RNAcentral describes it as "bacterial SSU rRNA". It matches the Rfam family "Bacterial small subunit ribosomal RNA", at positions 8 to 1106 of the family's 1533-position model. The record is from RNAcentral.